This 405-nucleotide ribosomal RNA is filed under the name uncultured bacterium. RNAcentral describes it as "bacterial SSU rRNA". It matches the Rfam family "Bacterial small subunit ribosomal RNA", at positions 28 to 426 of the family's 1533-position model. The record is from RNAcentral.
GACGAACGCUGGCGGCGUGCCUAACACAUGCAAGUCGAACGAGAUCCAUGGGAGCUUGCUCCCGGAAGAUCUAGUGGCGAACGGGUGAGUAACACGUGAGAAACCUGCCCUGGAGUGGGGAAUAACUCGGGGAAACUCGAGCUAAUACCGCAUACCCUCGGAUGGUCGCAUGGCCGUCCGAGGAAAGAUUUAUCGCUCUAGGAGGGUCUCGCGGCCUAUCAGCUAGUUGGUGGGGUAACGGCCUACCAAGGCAACGACGGGUAGCUGGUUUGAGAGAACGAUCAGCCACACUGGGACUGAGACACGGCCCAGACUCCUACGGGAGGCAGCAGUGGGGAAUCUUGCGCAAUGGGCGAAAGCCUGACGCAGCAACGCCGCGUGCGGGAUGACGGCCUUCGUGGUUGU